CUACGUGCCAGCAGCCGCGGUAAUACGUAGGGUGCGAGCGUUAAUCGGAAUUACUGGGCGUAAAGCGAGCGCAGACGGUUACUUAAGCAGGAUGUGAAAUCCCCGGGCUCAACCUGGGAACUGCGUUCUGAACUGGGUGACUAGAGUGUGUCAGAGGGAGGUAGAAUUCCACGUGUAGCAGUGAAAUGCGUAGAGAUGUGGAGGAAUACCGAUGGCGAAGGCAGCCUCCUGGGAUAACACUGACGUUCAUGCUCGAAAGCGUGGGUAGCAAACAGGAUUAGAUACCCUGGUAGUCCACGCCCUAAACGAUGUCAAUUAGCUGUUGGGCAACUUGAUUGCUUAGUAGCGUAGCUAACGCGUGAAAUUGACCGCCUGGGGAGUACGGUCGCAAGAUUAAAACUCAAAGGAAUUGACGGGGACCCGCACAAGCGGUGGAUGAUGUGGAUUAACUCGAUGCAACGCGAAGAACCUUACCUGGUCUUGACAU
Molecule: ribosomal RNA, 487 nt
Filed under: uncultured bacterium
Lineage: Bacteria
Description: bacterial SSU rRNA
Rfam family: Bacterial small subunit ribosomal RNA
Source: RNAcentral